RNAcentral lists this ribosomal RNA (253 nucleotides) under uncultured bacterium. RNAcentral describes it as "partial 16S ribosomal RNA". It matches the Rfam family "Bacterial small subunit ribosomal RNA", at positions 524 to 776 of the family's 1533-position model. The record is from RNAcentral.
UACGAAGGGGGCUAGCGUUGCUCGGAAUCACUGGGCGUAAAGCGCACGUAGGCGGACUCUUAAGUCAGGGGUGAAAUCCUGGAGCUCAACUCCAGAACUGCCUUUGAUACUGGGAGCCUUGAGUUCGGGAGAGGUGAGUGGAACUGCGAGUGUAGAGGUGAAAUUCGUAGAUAUCGGGAGGAACACCUGUGGCGAAGGCGGCCGACUGGACGAUCACUGACACUGAGACGCGAAAGCGUAGGUAGCAAACAGG